AUCCUUUCUUUUUCAUAAGUGUGAAGAUUGGGCGUUCACGCCUUUGGGCGGUGGGUGCUUGUCUUAAACCCUGUUACAUGGAACAUUACCCAACUGGCA
This 99-nucleotide small nucleolar RNA is filed under the name Echinops telfairi (small Madagascar hedgehog). RNAcentral's name for it is "Small nucleolar RNA U13 (ENSETEG00000026808.1)". It matches the Rfam family "Small nucleolar RNA U13". Lineage: Eukaryota; Metazoa; Chordata; Mammalia; Afrosoricida; Tenrecidae. The record is from RNAcentral.